This 497-nucleotide ribosomal RNA is filed under the name uncultured bacterium. RNAcentral describes it as "partial 16S ribosomal RNA". It matches the Rfam family "Bacterial small subunit ribosomal RNA", at positions 28 to 507 of the family's 1533-position model. The record is from RNAcentral.
GAUGAACGCUGGCGGCGUGCCUAAUACAUGCAAGUCGAGCGGCCAGACAGGGAGCUUGUUCCUUUACGGUUAGCGGCGGACGGGUGAGUAACGCGUGGAUAAGCUGCCUCUGAGUCGGGGAUAACAUCGGGAAACCACUGCUAAUACUGCAUAAUAUAUUUAACCGCAGGAUUCAAGUGUGAAUGAUGCUUUUGCUGCACCUAAUGGCGGAAUCCGGGUGGCAUAAGUUGGUUGGUAGGGUAACGCCUACCCAAGGCAACGAAGCUUAGCUGCCCGGAGAGGAUGAUCGGCCACACUGGAACUGAGAAACGGUCCAGACUCCUACGGGAGGAAGCAGUGGGGAAUCUUGGGCAAUGGGCGAAAGCUUGACGGAGCAAGGCCGCGUGGGUGAUGAAGGUCUUCGGAUGGUAAAGCCCUUUUGUUGGGAAAGAAGAAAUGUGGAGUAAACUACGCAUGUAUUGACGGUACCUACACAGAAAGCGACGGCUAACUACGUG